RNAcentral lists this long non-coding RNA (1431 nucleotides) under Sus scrofa (pig). Its description in RNAcentral is "lncRNA (ENSSSCG00015070608.1)". The record is from RNAcentral. Lineage: Eukaryota; Metazoa; Chordata; Mammalia; Artiodactyla; Suidae.
CUUUUUGCCUUUUCUAGGGCCGCUCCUGUGGCAUGUGGAGAUUCCCAGGCUAGGGGUCUAAUUGGAGCUGUAGCUGCGGGCCUACACUAGAGCCACAGCAAUGUGGGAUCCGAGCCGUGUCUUCGACCUACACCACAGCUCAUGGCAAUGCCGGAUCCUUAACCCACUGAGCGAGGUCAGGGAUGGAACCCGCCACCUCAUGGUUCCUAGCUGGAUUCAUUCACCACAGAGCCACGACAGAAACUCCUAAUUUUUUUUUUUUUUUAAACCAACAAAGUCCUCCUUCUAAGCCAUGGCGAUCAACCUUGACCAUGUACUUGAAUCUCCUUGAAGUGCUUUUUCAUGCAGAUACUCUUUGCAGCAACAUGGAUGGACCGGGAGGGGUAUCAUGCAAAGUGAAGUCAGAGAAAGACAGAUACUUAUGACAUCAGUUAUAUGUGGAAUCUAAAAGAAUACAACAAACUAAGUAUAAGAAGAACAAAGCAGACUCACAGAUCUAGAGAACAAGCCAGUGGUAACCAGCGGGGGGAGGGGCAGGGGAGGGGAGGGGAACACCUGCAACGGACAUAAACUGUGCAGCAACUAGACUUCAACACACAAAAUAGGUUUUAAACGAAAAAGAGUAGUGAAACCACUCACUGCUGAGUUCACGCCCUCGUGCCCACCUGUCCCACCCCGAGUCCCUGACUGAGGCGGGGGCAUCUCGAGUGGGGCUGAGAAUGUGCACUUCCAAGAGGCUCCUGGGAGGAGGUGAGGCAGCUGGGCUGGAACCACACAGUGGGCGCCAGGAGGCUCCCAGGCAGGAUGGCGUCCCCGGUCGUGCAUCCUGCUGUCUGUUCUCUCUGGUUUCAACCGCCUGGUUUCUGCAGCAUCCCCUCUGCCAGCAUCAGCCUAGGGAGCUAACCGUCUCCACGUGGUCCUAGCGGGUACCCGUACACCUGCCCCCUCAACCUUAGGCUGCAUGACCGCUGUCCCACCCACGGGGAAGGCGGGCUUGGGGCUGCGGAAGAACAGAGCUCCGCACAGAGCUUACCUACCAAAGGCCGCCGGCUCAGUCCUUUCUGCCUCCGCUUCUUCUCUUCGUUCCCGCCAUACUCUCAGACCAAAGGUAUAAAAGUCAAAGGGUGUCCUUUUAGAAUCGGGCUCCUGACCAACGCCAGCUUCCUCUCUUCUUCCCACGGCUUCCCAGCGCGCCGAGGGCUCCCAGGCGGCCCACGAGGCGCGCGGCAGGGCUCAGCGACGUGGAACGCGGCACGGUCAGCUCUUCCUCGUGCAUCCAGGACCACGUCCCCACGGCUCUUACACUGCCCUCAGCCAGCGUCCCUCUGCCCUGGCCGGGGGCAGGAGCAGCGUUUGAAGACGGAUCCAGAUUCCCCGCUUUUCCUGAUUGGCAGGUGGCGUUCCCCAGAGGUAUUAGCGCGCCUAAUGGAU